GUGAGGAAUCUUCCACAAUGGGCGAAAGCCUGAUGGAGCAACGCCGCGUGAAGGAUGAAGGUCUUCGGAUUGUAAACUUCUUUUAUGAGUGAAGAAUAUGACGGUAACUCAUGAAUAAGCACCGGCUAACUACGUGCCAGCAGCCGCGGUCAUACGUAGGGUGCAAGCAUUAUCCGGAGUGACUGGGCGUAAAGAGUUGCGUAGGCGGUUAUGUAAGCGAAUAGUGAAACCUGGUGGCUCAACCACACAGACUAUUAUUCGAACUGCAUAACUAGAGAAUGGUAGAGGUAACUGGAAUUUCUUGUGUAGGAGUGAAAUCCGUAGAUAUAAGAAGGAACACCAAUGGCGUAGGCAGGUUACUGGGCCAUUUCUGACGCUAAGGCACGAAAGCGUGGGGAGCGAACCGGAUUAGAAACCCCGGUAGUCC
RNAcentral lists this ribosomal RNA (427 nucleotides) under uncultured bacterium. Its description in RNAcentral is "partial 16S ribosomal RNA". It matches the Rfam family "Bacterial small subunit ribosomal RNA", at positions 354 to 796 of the family's 1533-position model. The record is from RNAcentral.